This 623-nucleotide ribosomal RNA is filed under the name Bipolaris oryzae. RNAcentral describes it as "partial large subunit ribosomal RNA". It matches the Rfam family "Eukaryotic large subunit ribosomal RNA", at positions 34 to 671 of the family's 3401-position model. The record is from RNAcentral. Lineage: Eukaryota; Fungi; Ascomycota; Dothideomycetes; Pleosporales; Pleosporaceae.
UUGCAUAUUCCAAAAAGCGGUGGAAAAGAAACCAACAGGGAUUGCCCUAGUAACGGCGAGUGAAGCGGCAACAGCUCAAAUUUGAAAUCUGGCUCUUUCAGAGUCCGAGUUGUAAUUUGCAGAGGGCGCUUUGGCUUUGGCAGCGGUCCAAGUUCCUUGGAACAGGACGUCACAGAGGGUGAGAAUCCCGUACGUGGUCGCUAGCUAUUGCCGUGUAAAGCCCCUUCGACGAGUCGAGUUGUUUGGGAAUGCAGCUCUAAAUGGGAGGUAAAUUUCUUCUAAAGCUAAAUAUUGGCCAGAGACCGAUAGCGCACAAGUAGAGUGAUCGAAAGAUGAAAAGCACUUUGGAAAGAGAGUCAAACAGCACGUGAAAUUGUUGAAAGGGAAGCGCUUGCAGCCAGACUUGCUUGCAGUUGCUCAUCCGGGCUUUUGCCCGGUGCACUCUUCUGUAGGCAGGCCAGCAUCAGUUUGGGCGGUGGGAUAAAGGUCUCUGUCACGUACCUCUCUUCGGGGAGGCCUUAUAGGGGAGACGACAUACCACCAGCCUAGACUGAGGUCCGCGCAUCUGCUAGGAUGCUGGCGUAAUGGCUGUAAGCGGCCCGUCUUGAAAACACGGACCCAAA